AUGCUCAAAAUUGAUCUUGCUAAGGCUUUUGAUCGGUUAGAAUGGAGCUUCAUCGUGUCUGCGCUUACUCGUAAAGGGUUACAUGGUCAUUUCAUUAAUUUGAUAUAUGCAUGCAUUUCAUCUCCGACUUUCUUUGUAAUCAUUAAUGGUCAGCCUUCACAUAAAUUUAAGAGUUAUAGGGGGAUUCGUCAAGGCUGUCCUAUGUCACCAUAUUUGUUUGUCAUUGCUAUUAAUGAAUUGUCUCUUUCUCUUAAUGAUGCUCUUGCUGCUCACCAACUUCAGGGGAUUUUACUUGGACCAAAUUGCCCUCCUAUUCACUCUCUUUUGUUUGCAGAUGAUCUACUUGUUUGUGGAAAGGCAACUGUGCAUGAAGCUGCUUCUAUGGCUCAAAUCAUUCAUCACUUUUGC
This 408-nucleotide ribosomal RNA is filed under the name Triticum aestivum (bread wheat). Its description in RNAcentral is "partial small subunit ribosomal RNA". The record is from RNAcentral. Lineage: Eukaryota; Viridiplantae; Streptophyta; Magnoliopsida; Poales; Poaceae.